AAUCACAACAAAAUGAGGAAUUUUAAUCAGCCAAUGCUUUUGUUACAGUGUGCAUGGAGUUGCUGAGCGGUCGGUGUUGGCUGGGUGUUCUCCUCUGAUUGAUGCCAUCUGUACCUAUGGAUGUGUGCUUCAGGACCAAGCUCUGUGGGUAACCGAUGCCAUGAUUUGGAGAGGUUACAUCUCCUGAAGAAGAAAGACGUUCAUUUACUUCAGAAGCAUGUGAUUUAACAGACUCCCUCGCCUCCAGGACCAGAGUUUUGAGGAAGACGAGAAGAGAGCCAGGACAAGCACUGAUCAGGCUGCAGCAGUGCAGAGGACACAUUCGUUCUUCCCCCAUCCCGCCAUAUUCAUCCACUGGGGUGAGACACCCAAAUCUUUACUUACAAAGCUGGCUUUUGUCAUAUCCUGCCCAGCAUCUAAAUCAGAGCUCUCUCAUUCACCAGUGCUGAUGUUUCCACGGAAGAUGGAUUAAUCUCUUUUUUUUUCUUCCCACUGAUCUGGGGCUUUAGGGAGAGUUGCAGAUAGCAAACAGGAGGGGAUUUAAGCCUUUCUCUUCACCUUUAAAAAAAGCCUGGCACAGCAUUGCUCUCCUAGGAAUAGGCCCACAUUAUUACUGCAGCCACAGCCACAUCAUCAGAGCUACAGUGCUCAGAGUUGUAGAUCAUCAGCCUGCUGUCACAGCCAUGAUGUAUGAUGGAAAAAGCCAUCCAUCUGAAAGUAUGCAGCACAAAGGGCUGGAGCCAUGCAGCAUGGCAGGGCCAAUGUACAGAGCACCAAACACUUUCCAACCCAAACAAGGCACAGAUUUGUGCCUGAUGAACUGAGGUUCAUUAGGAGGAAAAGGGAACAACUUCAAAGCCUCUCACUUGCAGGUGUCCAAAAUAGCAAAAUACAAACGCACUCACGGAUUGAGAAACAAAUCUAGCUACUGCUUCCUCCACACACACACCUCUUUCCCUUAAAGCUUACAUUUGAUUUUCUUUUCCAGUGUAAAACCUCAAUCAUAUUUACACCAGCUUUAGGAUCUUUACAGACAAAGACAUUUAAGGCUGUGAAAUCUUGGGCGAAAGUAAAAUGAUAUGGUGGAUCAAUCAGCUGAUGCUUCUUCCCUGCACAGCAGGGGACUCCAGCAAACCUCUUGCAUUUUGUGCAGAGACUCAGCUCCAACUGAAUUUUUCCUUUGGCACUAUAAGAGCAAAAAGAUAUUUAAUGAAGGAAAAAAAAAAAAAAAAAAAAGGAGAGAGCAAGGGAGAAGGAACAAUCAUGAGCCUUUACGCAUGGCGCCAGGUUCCUCAACUAAAAUGAACUGUUGCUCUUCCAGGAGAGAAACCAUUUCACAUCCAUUAUUCUCUUGCACAACACUCCAAGUGUGGGUGCAGAAAUAGUUUCCACCUAAAAAACCCUCAAAUUAGAAGAACACAUGGCAUGCAUGGAUCACAGAGGCGCAGCCCAGGGUGCUGCUCACCCACACAUGGUUGUCCCAAAUUUUUAACAUCUGUCACCAUGACACAAGCAAAAAAACCACUUUAUGAAAGCAGAUGUUCAGAAAGUUCUGUUUUUUUCCUCUCCAUGUGAGAAAUGCCUCAUUUAAAAAAACAGAAAUGGUGAUACCUGUAGAGGUAAGGAGCAGGUGAUGCAGGAGCAGGCACUUCAGCAGCCCUGCCUUUUGUGCAGCAGCAGAGGGAUGAGUAGUUUAAUUUCAAAUAGCCACAAAGUAAUUUUCAAAACACCUACCUCACUGUAACAUAGCACGCUUGAAAUACCACAUUCCUGUUCAUUAAUGGUAAAUUAUGGCACAUACACCCUGCUGUUACUGAGAAUGUCAGUCAGAAAGCCUUUGACAAACACGUCCCCUGCUUGUGGGGAUGAAAGAAAACCAGCAUCCGAGGUGAUGUCCGAUCUAACACCGUUCUUCAGAGACCUGCUGAUAAAUCUGUCAUGGGUGCCAUGGAAAAGAAAGAGAACACCAACAACAAAAAAGUCAGCAAACUUUGUAUUGGAGGGAUCUUAGAACAGUCACGAGUAUGUGACAGUGUGCGGCUGCAGCUCAGGAGAGCUUUUCAGUUACUCUGCUUGAAAUUCUGCCCUGUUUGGUGUUUUUGUUUUGUUUUGUUUUUUUAAGGUACUUUAUUCUGGGCCAACUCCUGAGAAGAAAACUGGGAGGAAAGAGCUCAAGGAAAGACUUUUUUGCCUAAACAGCCAGGCCAGCAGUUUAUAGAGCCAACAGAGGCACAGUUGCAUUCUGCAUGAGUUGACCAACCAUGGGUGGAACUGUCCCGCUUAAUUCAGAAACUGAGCUUUGGCUAACUGUUAGCCUUAAAUAGACCUAUGUGUAGUUAAAAGUCACAGGUAAGUCUUACUAAAUUAUCUGGGAGGUGAAGAUCCUGUUUACAAAGCACCUUCAGCAACUUGAUUUACGUUGCCUAAAUGGUGCCCACCUCCACUCUGUUUGACUUUUGUGAUUGUAAGGCUGAAGCAACUAUAAUUAAAGAGCAUUUCUGGAGUGAGCACAGCACUAUGCAGUGUAAUGUGACAUUCAGAAUAUAUCAGUGUCACUUCGCACAGGAGUUCUGAUUACUUUUACAUGUGCGCUUCAGCCCUGUCAUUCAUCCCUAGUGAAGCUCAUCUGCCUCAAACCACAGUGUCUCACCUAUGUCAUGUGGUUUCACCCCCUCUAUAAACCUCUGCCAUUUCCAUUUUAAUCAUGUGUUUCAUUCUUAAGGUAAAUAAUUCUAUUUGCAUGUUAAUGAUUCUACUAGCCUAUUGCCUAAUACAAACAGUCCUAAAAUAGGGCAGCUCACCAAUGUGGAAGUGAGACCUAAGUAUCCAGUAAGUAUCGCCCAUUCACACAGCAAGAUGUGUCUGAAAUGGGAAGAGAGAUCUGUAUCUUUUUCCAUGCGAUUCCAGCAGGAGCUGAGACUGCUCUUUGAUUCAGCGAUAAUGAGUGAACAUUGCACCAACGACAUUUACAUUUUUCAGUGGUAAGGAAAACACAAGAAGUGUUCUUCUGGGUUCAGAUUCCGGCCCCCAAAUGCACGCUGAUUUCCUGAACUUUGAACCGCCUCCUGAUGUGAACGAACAGCCUGGCAAUUAGCAAAAGGCGACAUCAGAUGUGAAAGGUGAAAUCAAAUUUUCAUCAGUUUCUGUGUAUCUGCUUCACUGGGAAACUUUCUGAAAAUAUAUCAGAAGGGCUGUUGGAGGUCCUCUGCCGUGCUGCCACGUGCCGUGUCCAACUAUUAUCCAGGCUCCCUGCUGACUGCUGCUGGAGCAGGCUGAACUUUCACAUCAGGGAGGUGGCAAGAUGCAGUUUGGUGUGUGCCUCAGAUGCUGGGCAGGAAGAAGCUACGCUUUUCCUCUCAUGUGGACCCCUGAAGCCCUCAACAAAGGCAGGAACUGGGGGCAUUGACAACCCCAACAAGGCUGGAGCUCACCUGCAGGCUCUGGUUUCCUUUCCUGCUGGCUAGCAACAAAAGGGUGACUGUCACAUGGGCACUGGCUUGGAUUAGGGCUGUAAAAAGAUGUGUGUGGAUGUACAGCAUCAGUAUGCAUUCCAAUACACCAGGUUAAAGCUGAAGCAAGGAAAUAACAAGAUCUGGUUCUUUUCAUUGACCAGUGUUGUAGCAUGGACAGUACUGCUGUUCCUUAUGGAAUUCUUCCAGUUGUAGCAGAAAUGCUAAG
Molecule: long non-coding RNA, 3678 nt
Organism: Lagopus leucura (white-tailed ptarmigan)
Lineage: Eukaryota; Metazoa; Chordata; Aves; Galliformes; Phasianidae
Exons: 3
Source: RefSeq, a predicted model, not a curated record